Molecule: ribosomal RNA, 762 nt
Filed under: uncultured bacterium
Lineage: Bacteria
Description: bacterial SSU rRNA
Rfam family: Bacterial small subunit ribosomal RNA
Source: RNAcentral
AGAGUUUGAUCAUGGUUCAGAUUGAACGCUGGCGGCAUGCCUUACACAUGCAAGUCGAACGGUAACAGGUCUUCGGACGCUGACGGGUGGCGAACGGGUGAGUAAUACAUCGGAACGUGCCCAGUCGUGGGGGAUAACUACUCGAAAGAGUAGCUAAUACCGCAUACGAUCUGAGGAUGAAAGCGGGGGACCUUCGGGCCUCGCGCGAUUGGAGCGGCCGAUGGCAGAUUAGGUAGUUGGUGGGAUAAAAGCUUACCAAGCCGACGAUCUGUAGCUGGUCUGAGAGGACGACCAGCCACACUGGGACUGAGACACGGCCCAGACUCCUACGGGAGGCAGCAGUGGGGAAUUUUGGACAAUGGGCGAAAGCCUGAUCCAGCAAUGCCGCGUGCAGGAUGAAGGCCUUCGGGUUGCAAACUGCUUUUGUACGGAACGAAAAAGCUUCUCCUAAUACGAGAGGCCCAUGACGGUACCGUAAGAAUAAGCACCGGCUAACUACGUGCCAGCAGCCGCGGUAAUACGUAGGGUGCGAGCGUUAAUCGGAAUUACUGGGCGUAAAGCGUGCGCAGGCGGUUAUGUAAGACAGAUGUGAAAUCCCCGGGCUCAACCUGGGAACUGCAUUUGUGACUGCAUGGCUAGAGUACGGUAGAGGGGGAUGGAAUUCCGCGUGUAGCAGUGAAAUGCGUAGAUAUGCGGAGGAACACCGAUGGCGAAGGCAAUCCCCUGGACCUGUACUGACGCUCAUGCACGAAAGCGUGGGGA